RNAcentral lists this ribosomal RNA (489 nucleotides) under uncultured bacterium. Its description in RNAcentral is "bacterial SSU rRNA". It matches the Rfam family "Bacterial small subunit ribosomal RNA", at positions 28 to 524 of the family's 1533-position model. The record is from RNAcentral.
GACGAACGCUGGCGGCGUGCUUAACACAUGCAAGUCGAGGGCGGGGAGCAAUCCCUGACCGGCGAACGGGUGCGUAACACGUGAGCGACCUUCCGUCUUCUGGGGGAUAGCCGGCCCAACGGCCGGGUAAUACCGCAUACGCUCAUUGGGCUUCAUGGCUUGAUGAGGAAACUUCCGGGGGAGGACGAGGGGCGUCGCGGCCUAUCAGCUAGUUGGUGCGGUAACGGCGCACCAAGGCGACGACGGGUAGCUGGUCUGAGAGGAUGGCCAGCCACAUUGGGACGUGAGAGACGGCCCAGACUCCUACGGGAGGGCAGCAGUGGGGAAUCUUGCGCAAUGGCCGAAAGGCUGACGCAGCGACGCCGCGUGUGGGAGGAAGCUCUUCGGGGUGUAAACCACUGUUGCCCGGGACGAACAGCCCUUUUCGAGGGGCCUGACGGUACCGGGUGAGGAAGCACCGGCUAACUCUGUGCCAGCCGCCGCGGUAAC